CACAGCCUCCUGCCCAGCCCCCUUUCUGCAGUCACCACGGACAUCUGGAUGCUGCAGACCCAGGAGAGCCUCAGGUCACAGCUCACGAGUUUUUGAGGAAAAGUCACAAUUCUCAGAACUGCCAGAAGACCUAAAAACAAGCUGACUCAUUUCAAACAUGCCUCAAUCUCCACCUCAGCAAGCCUGGUUGUUAAGAAACAACCCAGAAAGCGAUGGAAACCCCAAACCAGAAACCAGAGUUGCAGACAACCAUCUUUUCAAAUUUAGUUUCUAACCUGGCUUCCUUUCUUUCAGGAAUGGAGCAGCUCUUUUGGCAAGUUCUGUGAACCCUUUGGUUUGUCUCUGCUGCAUCUGGGCAGUGAUGGCACAGGAGGUGAGGGAAUCAUUUUGCUUCUCCUGAGGCAGAUUCACUAAAAGGUCCCACCCUAUGGACCAGAGCUGAGGAGCUGACUGCAAGCUCACACAGGUGAUGUUCCUUAAAUCCUUAACUUCCAGAAGGACAGAAUUGCAUCAGAACCUCCACUUUCAGCUCACUCAGCUCAGUUCAUCUCAUCUCUUACCUGGGCCAAGACAAGUGCUGGCCACCUCACCCUUCAUGGAGAUCACUGGACAAGAGGAGUCGAGGCCACUGUCUGCUGUGAGCUUCCCAGCUUGUCCACCUGGGAAUUGUAAAAUUCCCUUUCCACGCACAGAGGUAUUGAGGAGAUAUUGCCAAUGUUGGGAUCAUCUACAGGGGUUCCACAUCUUCGUGCUUCAGGCAUCUCAACCGAAGCAGCCAAAAACUGGGCCAGGGCAACAGUCCAAAAUUUUAGUGGUGAGCCUCCAAAAUUCAAGACACUCAGGGAAUGCAUGUUGGGGAAUAAUAUGAGAAUGCUGAAGGAAAAAAAAAAAGAGAGAAGGGCGUAUUUAAUUUGUAUCCAAUAUUAAUAUUUCAAACAUUGGUACUGUCAAUUUGGAAUAAAAGCCUGUGUUUGAAAUGCCUGUGAAAGCCA
Molecule: long non-coding RNA, 992 nt
Filed under: Parus major (Great Tit)
Lineage: Eukaryota; Metazoa; Chordata; Aves; Passeriformes; Paridae
Description: lncRNA (ENSPMJG00000009987.1)
Source: RNAcentral